RNAcentral lists this small nuclear RNA (144 nucleotides) under Myotis davidii. Its description in RNAcentral is "7SK RNA". It matches the Rfam family "7SK RNA", at positions 1 to 200 of the family's 331-position model. Rfam says of the family: 7SK was discovered as an abundant small nuclear RNA in the mid-70s but a possible function has only recently been suggested. Two independent studies have found that 7SK RNA binds the CDK9/cyclin T complex (known as elongation factor P-TEFb). Lineage: Eukaryota; Metazoa; Chordata; Mammalia; Chiroptera; Vespertilionidae. The record is from Rfam by way of RNAcentral.
GGAUGUGAGGGCGAUCUGGCUGCGACAUCUGUCAACCCAUUGAUCGCCCCCUCCUCCCUCACCGAUCCAUGUGCGCCCUGAAGUCCACAUCCCUCAGCUACCUAGGAUCACAGGGUCAGACUAAAGGUCAAGCUUACAACCAUA